Long non-coding RNA from Equus caballus (horse), 896 nucleotides. RefSeq lists it as uncharacterized. NCBI's taxonomy places the organism in Eukaryota, Metazoa, Chordata, Mammalia, Perissodactyla, Equidae. The record is from RefSeq and is a predicted model, not a curated record.
CUUUGAGCCUCUCCAGGAGUUCCAGGAUUCCCAAUAGAUCCUUCCUUCCAGCAGCUCCGCUCUGUUUGGGCAGUUCCAACAUCCUUGGAGUUUUAGGAUGGAAGCUGAGGCAUCUGAACUUCAGGAAAAGAAGAGCCAAAGCAGAGCAAAAUUGAGAGAGACUGGAAGAUUCCUGAUGAUCAUCAGAGCAAGCUCUUCUGACCUUGGCAUCUACGGAUGUUUCAUCCUUGACAUUUUCUAAGGCACUUGAAGGUCUUCCACAUAAAAUAAAGAGAAAACAGUAAUGCAUGUCUUUUACCUCAAUAGAGCUGUUUUUCAGGGGCAAGCCAAAAAGAUGCAAGUCGUGCAGCCAGAGCAUGUGAAAGGAGAAAAUCUUGACUUGAAAUGACACCCAGAACCAAAGAUGUCCCCCCCUGCCAUGGAACCAAAGGACUGGGACUCGACUGGAACUUGAAAGUUGGACUGUCAUCAGAAGUGAGGGGUACAUUGUCUAGGAAGACCUGGUGUUAACGCCCCUUCCACACCUUACCAUGAAUGUUGAAAGCCUUCCAGUGGAACCCCGUCCCACCAGCAUUCCCGUGUACCAGCCUGUUCCCCUAACCUCAUCAAUUUUGCCCCAAACCCUGGAUCAGGGAGACAGAUGUGAGACCCUUGCCUCCUGUCUCUUCACUGGUCAAUCUUGCAAUAAAGCCUUCUCUUUUCUCAAAAGCCAGUGGCAUAACUAUCGGUUUUUUAUGUGCAUCAGGCAGAGAACCCCCUUCUGGUGCAGUGACAUCUUUUCAUGUCUCUUAUUGGCCAUUCUUGUAUCCUCAUUUGUGAAGUAUGUCUCCAAGAUUUUGGCAAUCUUUACUUGGAUUGCUUGUCUUUUGAUAUAUAAAAGUUCUUUCUAUAAUUUG